RNAcentral lists this ribosomal RNA (1537 nucleotides) under Phoenicolacerta troodica. Its description in RNAcentral is "partial large subunit ribosomal RNA". It matches the Rfam family "Bacterial large subunit ribosomal RNA". Lineage: Eukaryota; Metazoa; Chordata; Lepidosauria; Squamata; Lacertidae. The record is from RNAcentral.
GCCUGCAAAUCAAGCCAACUAAAUACACAAAUCGCUAACCAACCAAAUCAAAACAUUUUAUUCGGCCAGUAAAUGAGAUUGAACACCACCUCCAGCCUUGAAAGUACCGCAAGGGAAACCUGAAAGAACAAUGAAACAUAUAAGCACAAAACAGCAAAGAUCAGCCCCCGUACCUCUUGCAUCAUGGUUUAGCAAAAUAUGCCUAGACAAAGAGAAACUACUAAGCCUACCUCCCCGAAACCAAACGAGCUAUUUUUAGGCAGCUAAGACUGAGCACACCCGUCCCUGUAGCAAAAGGGUGGGAAGACCUAAAAAUAGAGGCGAAAAACCUAACGAGCUUGGUGAUAGCUGGUUACUCAACAAAAGAAUUUAAGUUCAACUUUAGGUACCCCAACUAGGCAUACCUACUAUUAAGCCCCCCUCACCUAAAGAAAAUCAAUGGGGGUACAGCCCCAUUGAGCCGGAAUACAGCCCGAACUGAGAAACCCUUUUAGUUUUACUUUAGUAGGCCUCAAAGCAGCCACCAAAAACCGCGUUAUAGCACCCCCAUCCCCACCUAAUGUCAACAACACACUACUCCUCCAGAUCUACCCUGAGUCAUUCUAUAACUAUAUAGAAAUACUAAUGCUAAAACUAGUAAUAAGAAACUACUUUCUCUGCGCACCUCCUUAAAUCAGAAUAGAAAAACUACUGACUUUUAACAAACCAAAAUACUGACUUAUAAAUACUAGCCUAACGUCACCCUAAACUUGUUACCCCGACACAGGAAUGCAAAAAAGAAAGGCGGAAAGCCAUAAAAGGAACUCGGCAAAAAUUGUCCCAACUGUUUACCAAAAACAUAGCCUUUAGCCAAACAAGUAUUAAAGGUUCCGCCUGCCCAGUGACUUUUUAAACGGCCGCGGUAUCCUAACCGUGCAAAGGUAGCAUAAUCACUUGUCCUUUAAAUAAGGACUAGCAUGAAUGGCUAAAUGAGGACUUAACUGUCUCUUACAGCCCGCCAAUGAAACUGAUUUCCCAGUACAAAAGCUGGAAUAAACACACAAGACGAGAAGACCCUGUGGAGCUUCAAAUCAAACCCACCAACCAUGGUUCUAGAUUUUUAGUUGGGGCGACUUCGGAGCAUAAAAAACCCUCCAAACAUGUAUUACUUAAUUUUAUUAAGACCAACACACCAAAACAUAACAAAAGACCCAGCAACAUUCUAAUGUUGUCUGACAAUUGAACCAAGUUACCCCAGGGAUAACAGCGCCAUCCCCUUCUAGAGUCCCUAUCGACAAGGGGGUUUACGACCUCGAUGUUGGAUCAGGACACCCCAAUGGUGCAGACGCCAUUAAAGGUUCGUUUGUUCAACGAUUAAAGUCCUACGUGAUCUGAGUUCAGACCGGAGAAAUCCAGGUCGGUUUCUAUCUAUGAGGUACAAUUCUUAGUACGAAAGGACCAGAAUAAUAGGACCAAUUUUAAAUAAACGUCCUAAUCUGAACCACUGAUAACCACUUAAACGACAAAGAUACCACCAUCUCGUCCAAAAUCAGGACUU